UAAGCGUACACGGUGGAUGCCCUGGCAGUCAGAGGCGAUGAAGGACGUGCUAAUCUGCGAAAAGCGUCGGUAAGGUGAUAUGAACCGUUAUAACCGGCGAUGUCCGAAUGGGGAAACCCAGUGUGAUCCGUCACACUAUCGUUAACUGAAUACAUAGGUUAACGAGGCGAACCGGGGGAACUGAAACAUCUAAGUACCCCGAGGAAAAGAAAUCAACCGAGAUUCCCCCAGUAGCGGCGAGCGAACGGGGAGCAG
This 255-nucleotide ribosomal RNA is filed under the name Klebsiella pneumoniae. Its description in RNAcentral is "partial 23S ribosomal RNA". It matches the Rfam family "Bacterial large subunit ribosomal RNA", at positions 12 to 267 of the family's 2925-position model. The record is from RNAcentral. Lineage: Bacteria; Pseudomonadati; Pseudomonadota; Gammaproteobacteria; Enterobacterales; Enterobacteriaceae.